Molecule: ribosomal RNA, 377 nt
Filed under: uncultured bacterium
Lineage: Bacteria
Description: bacterial SSU rRNA
Rfam family: Bacterial small subunit ribosomal RNA
Source: RNAcentral
UAAGACAGAGGGUGCAAACGUUGCUCGGAAUCACUGGGCGUAAAGGGCGUGUAGGCGGGAGAGAAAGUCGGGCGUGAAAUCCCUAGGCUCAACCUAGGAACUGCACUCGAAACUUCUUUUCUUGAGUGCCGGAGAGGAAAGCGGAAUACCUGGUGUAGAGGUGAAAUUCGUAGAUAUCAGGUGGAACACCAGUGGCGAAGGCGGCUUUCUGGACGGUAACUGACGCUGAGACGCGAAAGCGUGGGGAGCAAACAGGAUUAGAUACCCUGGUAGUCCACGCUGUAAACGAUGAGUGCUAGGUGUCGUGGGUAUUGACCCCCGCGGUGCCGUAGCUAACGCAUUAAGCACUCCGCCUGGGAAGUACGGUCGCAAGACUA